Long non-coding RNA from Aedes albopictus (Asian tiger mosquito), 341 nucleotides. RefSeq lists it as uncharacterized. NCBI's taxonomy places the organism in Eukaryota, Metazoa, Arthropoda, Insecta, Diptera, Culicidae. The transcript is spliced from 2 exons. The record is from RefSeq and is a predicted model, not a curated record.
UCUUAUGCUUUCGCUCUGCGCUGUCUGUCAAAGAAUGAGAAAAAAAAACAAAAAAAUCUGUUUUUGCAAAAUAAAUUGUGCUGCUUCCGUUCCGAUUUGCCUGCCGUUUGAUCAGUUGAAUGAUUCGAGCUCUUAAAAAUAUGAUCCAAAGUGGACGGAAAUCGACGCAAGCAACCGGGGAGAAUGCAGUUAAUAUCCCGCUGUGACUGGCUGCCUCUACCAAAAACAAAUAAUACUUUUCAUGGUGUUCGAUACUUUCCAAUGGCCCAUCCGAAUAACUCGAAGUUGCAGUCAAUUUGGUGGAACCGAACUGGAACUAUGGUCUCGGAGCUGCCGGCUUG